ACGGAAGGCAGCAGUGGGGAAUAUUGCACAAUGGGGGAAACCCUGAUGCAGCAACGCCGCGUGAGUGAUGAAGUAUUUCGGUAUGUAAAACUCUAUCAGCUGGGAAGAAGAUGACGGUACCUGACUAAGAAGCACCGGCUAAAUACGUGCCAGCAGCCGCGGUAAUACGUAUGGUGCAAGCGUUAUCCGGAUUUACUGGGUGUAAAGGGUGCGUAGGUGGCAUGGCAAGUCUGAAGUGAAAGCUCGGGGCUCAACCCCGGAACUGCUUUGGAAACUGUCAAGCUAGAGUGCAGGAGAGGAAAGCGGAAUUCCUAGUGUAGCGGUGAAAUGCGUAGAUAUUAGGAGGAACACCAGUGGCGAAGGCGGCUUUCUGGACUGUAACUGGCACUGAGGCACGAAAGCGUGGGGAGCAAACAGGAUUAGAUACCCUGGUA
This 434-nucleotide ribosomal RNA is filed under the name uncultured Lachnospiraceae bacterium. RNAcentral describes it as "bacterial SSU rRNA". It matches the Rfam family "Bacterial small subunit ribosomal RNA", at positions 341 to 792 of the family's 1533-position model. Lineage: Bacteria; Bacillati; Bacillota; Clostridia; Lachnospirales; Lachnospiraceae. The record is from RNAcentral.